This 468-nucleotide ribosomal RNA is filed under the name uncultured bacterium. RNAcentral describes it as "partial 16S ribosomal RNA". It matches the Rfam family "Bacterial small subunit ribosomal RNA", at positions 28 to 507 of the family's 1533-position model. The record is from RNAcentral.
GACGGACGCUGGCGGCGUGCUUAACACAUGCAAGUCGAACGGAAAGGCCCUGCUUUUGUGGGGUGCUCGAGUGGCGAACGGGUGAGUAACACGUGAGUAACCUGCCCUUGACUUUGGGAUAACUUCAGGAAACUGGGGCUAAUACCGGAUAGGAGCUCCUGCUGCAUGGUGGGGGUUGGAAAGUUUCGGCGGUUGGGGAUGGACUCGCGGCUUAUCAGCUUGUUGGUGGGGUAGUGGCUUACCAAGGCUUUGACGGGUAGCCGGCCUGAGAGGGUGACCGGCCACAUCGGGACUGAGAUACGGCCCAGACCCCUACGGGAGGCAGCAGUGGGGAAUAUUGCACAAUGGGCGGAAGCCUGAUGCAGCAACGCCGCGUGCGGGAUGACGGCCUUCGGGUUGUAAACCGCUUUCGCCUGUGACGAAGCGUGAGUGACGGUAAUGGGUAAAGAAGCACCGGCUAACUACGUG